Molecule: ribosomal RNA, 253 nt
Filed under: uncultured bacterium
Lineage: Bacteria
Description: partial 16S ribosomal RNA
Rfam family: Bacterial small subunit ribosomal RNA
Source: RNAcentral
UACGUAGGGUGCGAGCGUUAAUCGGAAUUACUGGGCGUCAAGCGUGCGCAGGCGGUUUUGUAAGACAGAUGUGACAUCCCCGGGCUUAACCUAGGAACUGCAUUUGUGACUGCAAGACUAGAGUGCGGGAGAGGGGGGUAGAAUUCCACGUGUAGCAGUGAAAUGCGUAGAUAUGUGGAGGAAUACCGAUGGCGAAGGCAGCCCCCUGGGUCGACACUGACGCUGAGGCGCGAAAGCGUGGGGAGCAAACAGG